CUCGGGUGACGAGCGGCGGACGGGUGAGUAAUGUCUGGGAAACUGCCUGAUGGAGGGGGAUAACUACUGGAAACGGUAGCUAAUACCGCAUAAUGUCGCAAGACCAAAGUGGGGGACCUUCGGGCCUCAUGCCAUCAGAUGUGCCCAGAUGGGAUUAGCUUGUAGGUGGGGUAACGGCUCACCUAGGCGACGAUCCCUAGCUGGUCUGAGAGGAUGACCAGCCACACUGGAACUGAGACACGGUCCAGACUCCUACGGGAGGCAGCAGUGGGGAAUAUUGCACAAUGGGCGCAAGCCUGAUGCAGCCAUGCCGCGUGUGUGAAG
RNAcentral lists this ribosomal RNA (324 nucleotides) under Klebsiella pneumoniae. RNAcentral's name for it is "bacterial SSU rRNA". It matches the Rfam family "Bacterial small subunit ribosomal RNA", at positions 83 to 410 of the family's 1533-position model. The record is from RNAcentral. Lineage: Bacteria; Pseudomonadati; Pseudomonadota; Gammaproteobacteria; Enterobacterales; Enterobacteriaceae.